AUUGAACGCUGGCGGAAUGCUUUACACAUGCAAGUCGAACGGCAGCACGGACUUCGGUCUGGUGGCGAGUGGCGAACGGGUGAGUAAUAUAUCGGAACGUAUCCAAUAAUGGGGGAUAACUAAUCGAAAGGUUGGCUAAUACCGCAUACGUCCUACGGGAGAAAGCUAGGGACCUUCGGGCCUGGCGUUAAUGGAGCGGCCGAUAUCGGAUUAGCUAGUUGGUGAGGUAAAGGCUCACCAAGGCGACGAUCCGUAGCUGGUCUGAGAGGACGACCAGCCACACUGGAACUGAGACACGGUCCAGACUCCUACGGGAGGCAGCAGUGGGGAAUUUUGGACAAUGGGCGAAAGCCUGAUCCAGCCAUUCCGCGUGAGUGAAGAAGGCCUUCGGGUUGUAAAGCUCUUUCGCAAGAGAAGAAAACUUACCCUCUAACAUAGGGUGAGGUUGACGGUAUCUUGAUAAGAAGCACCGGCUAACUACGUGCCAGCCGCCGCGGUAA
Molecule: ribosomal RNA, 500 nt
Filed under: uncultured bacterium
Lineage: Bacteria
Description: partial 16S ribosomal RNA
Rfam family: Bacterial small subunit ribosomal RNA
Source: RNAcentral